UGAGAACUACGAAUAGUUCCCAGUGGGUUCGGCCGCCGACUCCGCCGAUCUAGCCACUAGGUCUUAAGCAGGCAUAGAGAGAUAUAUAUAUGCAAUAUAUAUAAAGCUAAACUGAACUGAAAGCGAGUAUGUAAAACAGGUCUAUCAAGCUAUGCCUCAAUCUGAUAUCAUGGAUGCAUGAACAAUAAAUAAAGCUGGGUAAGUAAGCAACUAUGAACAAUAACAACAACUAUGAAAGCUAGCUAUCAUGAGCAAUAAUAAUGAGUAUGACUCAAUAGGUAACCAAAUCUCAAAGUGAACUCGUGGUUCAUAAGCAUAACUCACGUGUAAAUCUCAUAGGGAAAGUCUUACUGAACUACUCCCCGAGACCGCCUGCGGACAGCACACUGACCGUCCAAACAGCACACUGACUGUCUCUCUAGUGACCAACCUCCGGAGUGCACAGCUCGUGGGGAGCGACCCCUCCAAGCGCAGACAGGCUAUGUGAGCACCAUUAACUCACGAACAGCAGCAACCUACCCUCUAAGGGUAAUCUUAUCAUGGAAUCAAGGUAUACUUGUACCCAAUCUCAUAGUGUCUCAACUACACUAAUGUUCUCAUAUCAAGGUCAUCAACAAUCAUAUGCCACUCAUCAUAGUUUUCUAACUAGAUGCCACUCAUCAUAGUUUUCUAACUAGAUGCCACUCGUCAUUUAGACUCAU
Molecule: long non-coding RNA, 701 nt
Filed under: Ananas comosus (pineapple)
Lineage: Eukaryota; Viridiplantae; Streptophyta; Magnoliopsida; Poales; Bromeliaceae
Description: long non-coding RNA (ACOM_LNC033145)
Source: RNAcentral